This 72-nucleotide transfer RNA is filed under the name Streptococcus pneumoniae SPNA45. Its description in RNAcentral is "tRNA-Gln-TTG". The record is from RNAcentral. Lineage: Bacteria; Bacillati; Bacillota; Bacilli; Lactobacillales; Streptococcaceae.
GGAAUACUAAAGUGUUACUAAAAAUAAAAAAACUAUCGUUUUUGUGAUAGAGGUAACUUUUUGAAAAGGCUA